AGACAAUAGAUACCCGGGUAGUCCCAGCUGUAAACGAUGCAGACUCGGUGAUGAGUUGGCUAUAUGCCAUCUCAGUGCCGCAGGGAAGCCGUUAAGUUUGCCGCCUGGGGAGUACGGUCGCAAGACUGAAACUUAAAGGAAUUGGCGGGGAGCACCACAAGGGUGGAAGCCUGCGGUUCGUAAUUAGGUAGGUCAACGCCGGAAACGUACUUACCGGGGGUCGGACAGCAGUGUGAAGGUCAAGCUGAAGACUUUACCUAGACAAGCUGAGAGGAGGUGCAUGGCCGUCGCCACGCUCGUGCCGUGAGGUGUCCUGUUAAGUACAGGUAACGAGCGAGACCCCGUCGCCUCUAGUUGCUACCAUUAUUCUCAGGAGUAGUGGAGCUAAUUAGAGGGACGUGCCGUCGCUGAGACGGAGGAAGGAGGGGGUCGUACGGCGAGGUC
Molecule: ribosomal RNA, 444 nt
Filed under: uncultured bacterium
Lineage: Bacteria
Description: bacterial SSU rRNA
Rfam family: Archaeal small subunit ribosomal RNA
Source: RNAcentral